UCCCUGGAGGCCUAGUGGUUAGGCCUCUGUGCUGUCACUGCCACGGCCCAGGGUCGAGUCCUGGCCAGGGAA
Non-coding RNA from Pangasianodon gigas (Mekong giant catfish), 72 nucleotides. The record is from the annotation of a GenBank genome assembly. Lineage: Eukaryota; Metazoa; Chordata; Actinopteri; Siluriformes; Pangasiidae.